UACGAAGGGGGCUAGCGUUGCUCGGAAUUACUGGGCGUAAAGGGCGCGUAGGCGGAUAUUUAAGUUAGAGGUGAAAGCCCAGGGCUCAACCCUGGAAUAGCCUUUAAUACUGGAUAUCUUGAGUUCGGGAGAGGUGAGUGGAACUCCGAGUGUAGAGGUGAAAUUCGUAGAUAUUCGGAAGAACACCAGUGGCGAAGGCGACUCACUGGCCCGAUACUGACGCUGAGGCGACGAAAGCGUGGGGAGCAAACAGG
Molecule: ribosomal RNA, 254 nt
Filed under: uncultured bacterium
Lineage: Bacteria
Description: partial 16S ribosomal RNA
Rfam family: Bacterial small subunit ribosomal RNA
Source: RNAcentral